Molecule: non-coding RNA, 261 nt
Organism: Pelobates cultripes (western spadefoot toad)
Lineage: Eukaryota; Metazoa; Chordata; Amphibia; Anura; Pelobatidae
Source: the annotation of a GenBank genome assembly
AUAGACUGCAAGCAGAGCUGGCGCUCCCAUAAGGCGGCCGAGGCAGCCGCCUUAGGGAGCACCGGCCAAGGGGGCUCAGUCUCUGGGUGACUGGAAGGAGGAAAUCGCCCUUCGCAUGACUACCUUCCAGAUGGUCACUGCAUGUUUACCUUGGCCGAGCGGGCAGAAUGCUACUUACCCGGUCUGACAGGAAAUACAACAAACUGCUUCACCAGGAUACCGAAACCUCUGUCGCAAACCUCGAGCUUAGCCACAUGGAGG